RNAcentral lists this transfer RNA (69 nucleotides) under Ictidomys tridecemlineatus (thirteen-lined ground squirrel). RNAcentral's name for it is "Spermophilus tridecemlineatus (thirteen-lined ground squirrel) tRNA". It matches the Rfam family "tRNA". From Rfam's summary of the family: Transfer RNA (tRNA) molecules are approximately 80 nucleotides in length. Their secondary structure includes four short double-helical elements and three loops (D, anti-codon, and T loops). The record is from Rfam by way of RNAcentral. Lineage: Eukaryota; Metazoa; Chordata; Mammalia; Rodentia; Sciuridae.
GGGGCUGGGGCUCAGCGGUAGAGCACUUGCCUCGUGUGUGAGAGGCACUGGGUUCGAUACCCAGCACCA